This 75-nucleotide transfer RNA is filed under the name Cryptococcus deneoformans B-3501A. RNAcentral describes it as "tRNA-Ala". It matches the Rfam family "tRNA". Rfam says of the family: Transfer RNA (tRNA) molecules are approximately 80 nucleotides in length. Their secondary structure includes four short double-helical elements and three loops (D, anti-codon, and T loops). Lineage: Eukaryota; Fungi; Basidiomycota; Tremellomycetes; Tremellales; Cryptococcaceae. The record is from RNAcentral.
GGGGGUGUAGCUCAUUUGGCAGAGCGCGUCAUUAGCAUCUUGACGAGGUACUGGGUUCAAUUCCCAGCUCCUCCA